ACAACAGGGAUUGCCCCAGUAACGGCGAGUGAAGCGGCAACAGCUCAAAUUUGAAAUCUGGCCCCCGGGUCCGAGUUGUAAUUUGCAGAGGAUGCUUCGGGCGAGGUGCCUUCCGAGUUCCCUGGAACGGGACGCCACAGAGGGUGAGAGCCCCGUCUGGUCGGACACCGAGCCCGUGUGAAGCUCCUUCGAAGAGUCGAGUAGUUUGGGAAUGCUGCUCAAAACGGGAGGUAUAUGUCUUCUAAAGCUAAAUAUUGGCCAGAGACCGAUAGCGCACAAGUAGAGUGAUCGAAAGAUGAAAAGCACUUUGAAAAGAGGGUUAAAAAGUACGUGAAAUUGUUGAAAGGGAAGCGCCCAUGACCAGACUUGGGCCCGGUGAAUCACCCGGCGUUCUCGCCGGUGCACUUUGCCGGGCACAGGCCAGCAUCAGUUUGGCGCGGGGGAGAAAGGCUUCGGGAACGUGGCUCCCUCGGGAGUGUUAUAGCCCGCUGCGCAAUACCCUGCGCCGGACUGAGGUACGCGCAUCGCAAGGAUGCUGGCGUAAUGGUCAUCAGCGACCCGUCUUGAAACACGGACCAAGGAGUCGUCUUCGUAUGCGAGUGUUCGGGUGUCAAACCCCUACGCGGAAUGAAAGUGAACGCAGGUGAGAGCUUCGGCGCAUCAUCGACCGAUCCUGAUGUUCUCGGAUGGAUUUGAGUAAGAGCAUACGGGGCCGGACCCGAAAGAAGGUGAACUAUGCCUGUAUAGGGUGAAGCCAGAGGAAACUCUGGUGGAAGCUCGCAGCGGUUCUGACGUGCGAAUCGAUCGUCAAAUAUGGGCAUGGGGGCGAAAGACUAAUCGA
RNAcentral lists this ribosomal RNA (841 nucleotides) under Cordyceps fumosorosea. RNAcentral's name for it is "partial large subunit ribosomal RNA". It matches the Rfam family "Eukaryotic large subunit ribosomal RNA", at positions 65 to 938 of the family's 3401-position model. The record is from RNAcentral. Lineage: Eukaryota; Fungi; Ascomycota; Sordariomycetes; Hypocreales; Cordycipitaceae.